Molecule: ribosomal RNA, 253 nt
Filed under: uncultured bacterium
Lineage: Bacteria
Description: partial 16S ribosomal RNA
Rfam family: Bacterial small subunit ribosomal RNA
Source: RNAcentral
AACGUAGGAGGCGAGCGUUAUCCGGAUUUACUGGGUGUAAAGCGCGUGCAGGCGGUUUUCAAAGUGGUGCGUGAAAGCGCCCGGCUCAACCGGGCGAGGACGGGCCAAACUGGGAAACUGGAGGUAGGUAGAGGCGGGUGGAAUUCCGGGUGUAGUGGUGAAAUGCGUAGAGAUCCGGAGGAACACCAGAGGCGAAGGCGACCCGCUGGGCCUGACCUGACGCUCAGACGCGAAAGCAUGGGGAGCGAACGGG